RNAcentral lists this long non-coding RNA (1415 nucleotides) under Pandoravirus neocaledonia. Its description in RNAcentral is "hypothetical ncRNA". The record is from RNAcentral.
GCCUGAUGGCAAAGGAGCGCAGAUCGAUCUCGGUGACAAACGACUCGUAGGCAUUGGUGACAUAGGCGUGGCGACCGUCGGGCGAAGCGUUGACGUGGAUCGGCGCCAGGCCCGUGGGUACACGCCGCACGAGUUUGCCCGUGUGCGCGUCGACCACGAUCACGAUCCCGUUCCACACGGCGGGUCCGAGGAGCAAGGCGCCGUCGGGCGUCGAGGUCGAAUAGAGCAGCUGGCCCACGCCGAAACCGCGCCACACGUCGACCCACGCCGGCGCGGCCGGGUCGACCGUCGCCAGGGUGUCCCUCCCGCUGGCCAAAAGCAGGGGCUUGUGCGUUUGCGUCGAUGAUGUGCCGUCGGCAAUCGCGGCUCCAUCGACGGCGUCGUUCCUUUUGUCCUUGUCGUUGUCUCGGGCGCAGCCACCACCACCGCCACCACCACCAGAAGACCAGCAGAGGCCGCGGAGCGCUUCGGCGCCGGGCGGAGGCGCGAGCACGGCACCGUCCGACAGGGCCUUGCCCGUGACGACAUCGAUGGCACCGAGGCCCUGGGGUCCGGACAUCAUCCACAAGACGCGACCGUCUGGCGAGGCCACCAAAUGGUGAGCCUGAGCGCAACGGUGAUCGAUCGGCGCGCUCCGGACAGGUCCCGUGCUGCAAGAGGCACCAAUGCCGCCGUCGUCGCCGCCGCCGCCCUUGCAAAUGCCAAAUGUCUUUACGGUAACGAUUCCGGAAUGGGACUGACACGGCGCCGACGCAGAGAGGUCAUAGGCCAGGAUCGAAGGCGACACACCGUUGGUCGGAUCAGCGUGCUCGCAAUUGACAUAGAGCGUCUGUUCGUCGGGCGAGAGUUCGACGCCGUGGGGCGCCCGGUCGGCGGCGGCCAAAGGUGCGCCGGGGGCAAACGUGCGCAGGCGCCGGCGUACCGUCAUGGUCGCCACGUCGAUUUCGGCGACGGUCGCGCCCGGCCGUCCGAGCGGCGAGUCAUAGUCGUGCAGACCAAAGGCCGACACGAAGGCGGUGGCGCCGUCGCGUGUCGCGCGCACCUCGUGGGGCAAUAGGCCCACUUCGACUGAUCCGAGGCACACGCCGUCUGACGCGCGGUAAAAGGACGCCGUGCCGGCCAUCUCUUCAACGACCAAAAGCACCCAAUCGUUGUUGGUGUCUCGAUCCGGACCGGCGGCGGGCGCCAUCAGAGAGCAAAGAGGCGCAGCGCCACUUUCGCGAUCCAUCUUUUUUUUCCCCUUUAACUGGGCCUUUUGCCGGUGCGCUUCCUUUUCUUUCUUUCUUUCUUUUUUCUUCCCCCCUGUCGGCUCAGUGUCUCCUGCUCCUCUGUUUUUUCUCUCCUUUUGCUGUCAGUGCUCUAUCCUAUUUUUUUUUGGUUUCGUCGAUCACAGAGAGAAAGGCCUUGGCGAGGCA